UGACCACGGAUCAGGUGAGGAUACCCGCUGAAUUUAA
RNAcentral lists this ribosomal RNA (37 nucleotides) under Peltigera dolichorrhiza. RNAcentral's name for it is "partial 28S ribosomal RNA". Lineage: Eukaryota; Fungi; Ascomycota; Lecanoromycetes; Peltigerales; Peltigeraceae. The record is from RNAcentral.